RNAcentral lists this ribosomal RNA (497 nucleotides) under uncultured bacterium. Its description in RNAcentral is "partial 16S ribosomal RNA". It matches the Rfam family "Bacterial small subunit ribosomal RNA", at positions 28 to 507 of the family's 1533-position model. The record is from RNAcentral.
GAUGAACGCUGGCGGCGUGCCUAAUACAUGCAAGUCGAGCGAACAGAUAAGGAGCUUGCUCCUUUGACGUUAGCGGCGGACGGGUGAGUAACACGUGGGUAACCUACCUAUAAGACUGGGAUAACUUCGGGAAACCGGAGCUAAUACCGGAUAAUAUUUCGAACCGCAUGGUUCGAUAGUGCAAGAUGGUUUUGCUAUCACUUAUAGAUGGACCCGCGCCGUAUUAGCUAGUUGGUAAGGUAACGGCUUACCAAGGCGACGAUACGUAGCCGACCUGAGAGGGUGAUCGGCCACACUGGAACUGAGACACGGUCCAGACUCCUACGGGAGGCAGCAGUAGGGAAUCUUCCGCAAUGGGCGAAAGCCUGACGGAGCAACGCCGCGUGAGUGAUGAAGGUCUUCGGAUCGUAAAACUCUGUUAUUAGGGAAGAACAUACGUGUAAGUAACUGUGCACGUCUUGACGGUACCUAAUCAGAAAGCCACGGCUAACUACGUG